UACAGAGGGUGCUAGCGUUGUUCGGAAUCAUUGGGCGUAAAGCGUGCGCAGGCGGUGAUGUAAGACAGGGGUGAAAUCCCCGGGCUUAACCUGGGAACUGCAUUUGUGACUGCAUCGCUGGAGUGCGGCAGAGGGGGAUGGAAUUCCGCGUGUAGCAGUGAAAUGCGUAGAUAUGCGGAGGAACACCGAUGGCGAAGGCAAUCCCCUGGGCCUGUACUGAC
This 221-nucleotide ribosomal RNA is filed under the name uncultured prokaryote. RNAcentral describes it as "partial 16S ribosomal RNA". It matches the Rfam family "Bacterial small subunit ribosomal RNA", at positions 524 to 744 of the family's 1533-position model. The record is from RNAcentral.